UACCAGCACCCCGAGUGGUCGGGACGUUUAUUGGGCCUAAAGCAUCCGUAGCCGGUUCUACAAGUCUUCCGUUAAAUCCACCUGCUUAACAGAUGGGCUGCGGAAGAUACUAUAGAGCUAGGAGGCGGGAGAGGCAAGCGGUACUCGAUGGGUAGGGGUAAAAUCCGUUGAUCCAUUGAAGACCACCAGUGGCGAAGGCGGCUUGCCAGAACGCGUUCGACGGUGAGGGAUGAAAGCUGGGGGAGCAAACCGG
Molecule: ribosomal RNA, 253 nt
Filed under: uncultured bacterium
Lineage: Bacteria
Description: partial 16S ribosomal RNA
Rfam family: Archaeal small subunit ribosomal RNA
Source: RNAcentral